AAAAGAAGCACAGAGCAUUCUACAUUGGCAACCAAGAUAAGUUAUCGUUAACCAGAAAGUGCCCAGUGCAAGAAUGGCAGCCAAAUUGUUUCUAUGUCUGAUCGGUUUGCUCUCCCUUCUGGUGUUAUUUUCAACCGAGUCUGAUGCCUUUGGAAACGGAGCACUUAGCGGUGGUAAAAGAGCCUUCAAGAUGAUGAGUGACUUUCAGGAGGCUGAUGAAAAUAUCAUCAUGAAACGCCGAUUGUGUGACAUGGCUAAGCGCGUGGGAUGUUAAAAUGUGAUUCUAGAUGUUGAUGAAAAGAAGCAGUUUUUCUCGUAAAUAACGUAACAUCUCUCCUCCGAGGAAUAUGAAAAGGUCCAUAUGAGCGAAUAAAAAUUAAAACUCAA
Pocillopora damicornis (cauliflower coral) is the source of this 387-nucleotide long non-coding RNA. RefSeq lists it as uncharacterized. Lineage: Eukaryota; Metazoa; Cnidaria; Anthozoa; Scleractinia; Pocilloporidae. The record is from RefSeq and is a predicted model, not a curated record.